RNAcentral lists this ribosomal RNA (253 nucleotides) under Phocaeicola plebeius DSM 17135. RNAcentral describes it as "partial 16S ribosomal RNA". It matches the Rfam family "Bacterial small subunit ribosomal RNA", at positions 524 to 776 of the family's 1533-position model. The record is from RNAcentral. Lineage: Bacteria; Pseudomonadati; Bacteroidota; Bacteroidia; Bacteroidales; Bacteroidaceae.
UACGGAGGAUGCAAGCGUUAUCCGGAUUUAUUGGGUUUAAAGGGAGCGCAGACGGGUCGUUAAGUCAGCUGUGAAAGUUUGGGGCUCAACCUUAAAAUUGCAGUUGAUACUGGCGUCCUUGAGUGUGGUUGAGGUGUGCGGAAUUCGUGGUGUAGCGGUGAAAUGCUUAGAUAUCACGAAGAACUCCGAUUGCGAAGGCAGCACACUAAGCCGUAACUGACGUUCAUGCUCGAAAGUGUGGGUAUCAAACAGG